This 316-nucleotide transfer-messenger RNA is filed under the name Rhizosolenia imbricata. Its description in RNAcentral is "ssra". It matches the Rfam family "transfer-messenger RNA". From Rfam's summary of the family: Bacterial tmRNA, also known as 10Sa RNA or SsrA, is named for its dual tRNA and mRNA-like properties. Its role is to liberate the mRNA from a stalled ribosome. To accomplish this part of the tmRNA is used as a reading frame that ends in a translation stop signal. Lineage: Eukaryota; Bacillariophyta; Coscinodiscophyceae; Rhizosoleniales; Rhizosoleniaceae. The record is from RNAcentral.
GGGGCUGUUUUGGUUUCGACAUUUAAAAUUAUUUAAGGUAUGAUGCAGGUCGAAGCUAGUAUUCUUCGUAAAAACAAACAAAUUUAUAAUAACUGCUAAUAAUAUAAUGACAUUUAGUCGCAACGAAGUAUUUGCAUAAAAUAACUAUUCUUUUUUAUUAAAAAAGAAUUCAUUCACUAUAUAUAAUUUACUUUUGAUUAUUUAUAGUUUAGAAUAACACUACAAAAAUUAAAAUGUUCGAAUUCAUGAACUAAGCCUGUGAACGAGUACUUUAAGUAUUUUUAGAUGGACAUGGGUUCAAUUCCCAUCAGCUCCA